UACGUAGGGUGCAAGCGUUAAUCGGAAUUACUGGGCGUAAAGCGUGCGCAGGCGGUUGUGCAAGACAGAUGUGAAAUCCCCGGGCUUUACCUGGGAACUGCAUUUGUGACUGCACGGCUAGAGUGCGGCAGAGGGGGAUGGAAUUCCGCGUGUAGCAGUGAAAUGCGUAGAUAUGCGGAGGAACACCGAUGGCGAAGGCAAUCCCCUGGGCCUGCACUGACGCUCAUGCACGAAAGCGUGGGGAGCAAACAGG
Molecule: ribosomal RNA, 253 nt
Filed under: uncultured bacterium
Lineage: Bacteria
Description: partial 16S ribosomal RNA
Rfam family: Bacterial small subunit ribosomal RNA
Source: RNAcentral